AUGAGGAAAAUUAGCGAAGGUAAAGAGGUGGAUGUUUCUAAUCAAAAAAAAGGAAAUUCUAGAAGAAAGCCUAAGGACAUUAAUCUAGAAAAAAUCCUAACGACCCCAUUAAACAAAAGGUCUACCAUUAGGUCACUUGCUUGGCAACUGGGGUGUAGCCCUACCACACUUCAUAGAAAGUUCAUGUUA
This 189-nucleotide ribosomal RNA is filed under the name Triticum aestivum (bread wheat). RNAcentral's name for it is "partial small subunit ribosomal RNA". The record is from RNAcentral. Lineage: Eukaryota; Viridiplantae; Streptophyta; Magnoliopsida; Poales; Poaceae.